CAGCCGCCACGGGAAUACGGAGGGUGCAAGCGUUAAUCGGAAUUACUGGGCGUAAAGCGCACGCAGGCGGUCUGUCAAGUCAGAUGUGAAAUCCCCGGGCUUAACCUGGGAACUGCAUUUGAAACUGGCAGGCUAGAGUCUUGUAGAGGGGGGUAGAAUUCCAGGUGUAGCGGUGAAAUGCGUAGAGAUCUGGAGGAAUACCGGUGGCGAAGGCGGCCCCCUGGACAAAGACUGACGCUCAGGUGCGAAAGCGUGGGGAGCAAACAGGAUUAGAGACCCCAGUAGUCCCUGUCUCUUAUAC
Molecule: ribosomal RNA, 301 nt
Filed under: uncultured bacterium
Lineage: Bacteria
Description: partial 16S ribosomal RNA
Rfam family: Bacterial small subunit ribosomal RNA
Source: RNAcentral